ACCUGGUUGAUCCUGCCAGUAGUUAUAUGCUUGUCUCAAAGGUUAAGCCAUGCAUGUCUCAGUAUGAGUGCUUCUACGGCGAAACUGCGAAUGGCUCAUUAAAUCAGUUACGGUUUAUUUGAUGACUUGUGACACGGAUAACUGGGGAAAUUCUUCAGCCAAUACGUGCUUCUAAGCCGACUUUGUGGAAGGUGAGUAUUUGCUCGAUUCUGAACCAACCCAGAUCUUCUGGGCUUUAAGUUGAGCGGAGAGUAAAUCUGUCCAAUCGCAUUGCACCGCGAUGCGAUGCAUCAUUCAAGUUUCUGACCUAUCAGCUUCCGAUUGUAGGGUAUUGGCUUACCAUGGCGAUGACGGGUAACAGCGAAUUUGGGUUCAGUUCUGGAGAGGGAGCCUGAGAAACGGCUACCACAUCUAAGGAAGGCAGCAGGCGCGUAACUUACCCAAUUCUGACACGGAGAGGUAGUGACAAGAAAUAACGAUACAGGGCAUUCAUGUCUUGUACUUGGGCUGAGUAGAAUGUAAACGACUCUAUGAGUAUCAAUUGGAGGGCAAGUCUGGUGCCAGCAGCCGCGGUAACUCCAGCUCCAAUAGCGUAUAUUGAAGUUGUUGCGGUUAAAAAGCUCGUCGUUGGAUUUCUGUUGAGGUCGAACAGUGCCGCCCUAUGGGUGCGCAACUGGCUCGGCUUCGGCAUCUUCUUGGAGAGCGCAUCUGCACUUAACUGUGUGGAUCGUACUUCAAGUCAGUUACUUUGAGGAAUUGUGAGUGUUUCAAGCAAGCUUACGCCGUUGAAUCCGUUAGCAUGGAAUAAUAGAAUAGGACCUCGGUUCUAUUUUGUUGGUUUUGAGAGCUGGGGCAGCGAUUGAUAGGGACGGAUGGGGGCGUCCGACUUUACUGUCAGAGGUGAAAUUCUUAGAUCGGUCAAAGGCGAACUACUGCGAACGCAUUCCGCCAAGAAUGUUUUCUUUAAUCAAGAACGAAAGUWAGGGGAUCGAAGACGAUCAGAUAACCGUCCUAGUCUUAACCAUAAACGUUACUGACUAGAAAUUGGAGGUUGUGAUUCACAAACAAGUCUUUGAGUUCUGGGGGGAGUAUGGUCGCAAGACUGAAACUUAAAGGAAUUGACGGAAGGGCACCACCAGGAGUGGAACCUGCGGCUUAAUUUGACUCAACACGGGGAAACUUACCAGAUCAAGACAUAGUAAGGAUUGACAGAUUGAGAGUUCUCUCUCGAUUCUAUGGGUGGUGGUGCAUGGCCGUUCUUAGUUGGUGGAGUGAUUUGUCUGGUUAAUUUCGUUAACGAACGAGACCUUAACUUGUUGAAUAGUGAAUCGUAACCUCGGUUACGUUGGAAUCUUCUUAGAGGGACUUUGUGUGAUCAACGCAAGGAAGUUUGAGGCGAUAACAGGUCUGUGAUGCCCUUAGAUGUUCUGGGAUGCACGCGCGUUACACUGAUUCGUUCAACGAGUUUAUGACCUUGCCUGAUGAGGUGGGGGAAUCUUUUCAAAUCGCAUCGUGAUGGGGAUAGAGUAUUGUAACUGUUAGUCUUCAACGAGGAAUUCCUAGUAAGUACGUGUCAUCAGCUCGUACUGAUUAUGUCCCUGCCCUUUGUACACACCGCCCGUCGCUCCUACCGAUUGAGUGCUCAGGUGAAUAGUAUGGACUGCAUCAGUGUUCGGUCUCCGAAUGUUGAAGCGAGAAAUUCUGUGAAUCUUAUUGCUUAGAGGAAGGAGAAGUCGUAACAAACAAGGUUUCCGUAGGUGAACCUGCAGAAGGAUCA
RNAcentral lists this ribosomal RNA (1777 nucleotides) under uncultured eukaryote. Its description in RNAcentral is "SSU rRNA". It matches the Rfam family "Eukaryotic small subunit ribosomal RNA". The record is from RNAcentral.